AGUGAACGCUGGCGGUGGGCCUAACACAUGCAAGUCGAACGGCAGCACAGUACGAGCUUGCUCUUACGGGUGGCGAGUGGCGGACGGGUGAGGAAUAUAUCGGAAUCUACUUUUUCGUGGGGGUUAACGUAGGGAAACCUACGCUAAUAUCGCAUACGACCUACGGGUGAAAGCAGGGGAUCUUUGGACCUUGCGCGAUUGAAUGAGCCGAUGCGGGAGUAGCUAGUUGGCGGGGUAAAGGCCCACCAAGGCGCCGAUCGGUAGCUGGUCUGAGAGGCGGGUAGGCGGCACUGGAGGUGGAACACGGUCCAGGGGACUGAGGGAGGCAGCAGUGGGGAAUGUUGGGCAGUGGGGGGAAGCAUGAUCCAACGAUACCGCGUGGGUGAAGGAAGCCUUCGGGGUGGAAAGACGUUUUGUGGGGAGAAAACAGCAGCAGGUUGAUACGCCGCUGGUCUGACGGUAACCGAAGAAGAAGCACCGGCUAACUUCGUG
This 492-nucleotide ribosomal RNA is filed under the name uncultured bacterium. RNAcentral describes it as "partial 16S ribosomal RNA". It matches the Rfam family "Bacterial small subunit ribosomal RNA", at positions 30 to 507 of the family's 1533-position model. The record is from RNAcentral.